GACGAACGCUUGCGGCGUGCUUAACACAUGAAAGUCGAACGGGAGUAUUGAAGAAGCUUGCUUUAGAGAUACUUUAUUGGCGGACGGGUGAGUAACGCGUGAGGAGCUGUCCUAUGCAGGGGGACAACAGUUGGAAACGACUGCUAAUACCCCAUAAGCAGAGAGGUACAAGGAUUUAUCCGGCAAUGGAGGUACUCGCGUCCUAUCAGCUAGUAGGUGAGGUAACGGCUCACAUAGGCGAAGACGGGUAGCCGGCCUGAGAGGGCGAACGGACACACUGGAACUGAGGUACGGUCCAGACUCCGACGGGAGGCAGCAGUGGGGAAUAUUGGGUGAUGGGGUGAACCCUGACCCAGCGACGCCGCGUGAGUGAUGACGGCCUUCGGGUUGUAAAGCUCUGUCUUUGGGGACGAUAAUGACGGUACCCAAGGAGGAAGCCACGGCUAACUACGUGCCAGCCGCCGCGGUAA
This 470-nucleotide ribosomal RNA is filed under the name uncultured bacterium. RNAcentral's name for it is "partial 16S ribosomal RNA". It matches the Rfam family "Bacterial small subunit ribosomal RNA", at positions 28 to 523 of the family's 1533-position model. The record is from RNAcentral.